RNAcentral lists this ribosomal RNA (301 nucleotides) under uncultured bacterium. RNAcentral's name for it is "partial 16S ribosomal RNA". It matches the Rfam family "Bacterial small subunit ribosomal RNA", at positions 509 to 807 of the family's 1533-position model. The record is from RNAcentral.
CAGUCGCCGCGGUAAUACGAAGGGUGCAAGCGUUAAUCGGAAUUACUGGGCGUAAAGCGUGCGUAGGCGGUGAGUUAAGUCUGCUGUGAAAUCCCCGGGCUCAACCUGGGAAUGGCAGUGGAUACUGGCUCGCUAGAGUGUGUCAGAGGAUGGUGGAAUUCCCGGUGUAGCGGUGAAAUGCGCAGAGAUCGGGAGGAACAUCAGUGGCGAAGGCGGCCAUCUGGGACAACACUGACGCUGAGGCACGGAAGCGUGGGGAGCAAACAGGAUUAGAUACCCGAGUAGUCCCUGUCUCUUAUAC